This 72-nucleotide transfer RNA is filed under the name Camelus dromedarius (Arabian camel). It matches the Rfam family "tRNA". Rfam says of the family: Transfer RNA (tRNA) molecules are approximately 80 nucleotides in length. Their secondary structure includes four short double-helical elements and three loops (D, anti-codon, and T loops). The record is from Rfam by way of RNAcentral. RNAcentral also lists the same sequence under 1 other name. Lineage: Eukaryota; Metazoa; Chordata; Mammalia; Artiodactyla; Camelidae.
GAGGGUAUAUCUCAGUGAUAGAGUGCAUGCUUAGCAUGCACAAAAUCCUGGGUUCAAUCCCCAGUACCUCCA